CCUCUGUUCCUAUUUGCUGGGCUCUAGGCUUGAAAGGGCGUUAGGGGUUUUCCGGGGGAUAGGAAGACUGCUUACGAAUAGUAAGAGGAGGGUAGAGGCAAUAACAGGUCUGUGAUGCCCUUUGAUGUCCUGGGCGGCACGCGCGCUACAAUGGCGUGUUCAGAGAGAGGGCUGUGCCGAGAGGCAUGGCGAAACUGGAAAACACGGCGUGCUGGGGAUUGGUGGCUGCAAAUGCUGCCAUGAACAUGGAAUUCCUAGUAAGUACGAGUCACUAGCUCGUGCUGAUUACGUCCCUGUCCUUUGUACACACCGCCCGUCGCUACUAUCGACGUGUGAGGAGGCGAGUCUGCAGGAGGCUGUUUGGCUGAAUGCAGACAAGUCUGUUUACAUGGAGAAAGUAAAAGUCG
RNAcentral lists this ribosomal RNA (407 nucleotides) under Microsporidia sp. clade III. RNAcentral describes it as "SSU rRNA". It matches the Rfam family "Eukaryotic small subunit ribosomal RNA", at positions 1337 to 1791 of the family's 1831-position model. The record is from RNAcentral. Lineage: Eukaryota; Fungi; Microsporidia.